RNAcentral lists this ribosomal RNA (491 nucleotides) under uncultured bacterium. RNAcentral describes it as "partial 16S ribosomal RNA". It matches the Rfam family "Bacterial small subunit ribosomal RNA", at positions 29 to 506 of the family's 1533-position model. The record is from RNAcentral.
AGUGAACGCUGGCGGUAGGCCUAACACAUGCAAGUCGAACGGCAGCACAGUAAGAGCUUGCUCUUACGGGUGGCGAGUGGCGGACGGGUGAGGAAUACAUCGGAAUCUACUUUUUCGUGGGGGAUAACGUAGGGAAACUUACGCUAAUACCGCAUACGACCUACGGGUGAAAGCAGGGGAUCUUCGGACCUUGCGCGAAUGAAUGAGCCGAUGUCGGAUUAGCUAGUUGGCGGGGUAAAGGCCCACCAAGGCGACGAUCCGUAGCUGGUCUGAGAGGAUGAUCAGCCACACUGGAGCUGAGACACGGUCCAGACUCCUACGGGAGGCAGCAGUGGGGAAUAUUGGACAAUGGGCGCAAGCCUGAUCCAGCCAUACCGCGUGGGUGAAGAAGGCCUUCGGGUUGUAAAGCCCUUUUGUUGGGAAAGAAAAGCAGCAGGUUAAUACCCCGCUGUUCUGACGGUACCCAAAGAAUAAGCACCGGCUAACUUCGU